AGAGUUUGAUCAUGGCUCAGAAUCAACGCUGGCGGCGUGCCUCAGACAUGCAAGUCGAACGCGAAAGUUCCCUUCGGGGAGCGAGUAGAGUGGCGCACGGGUGAGUAACACGUAGGUAAUCUACCUUUGGAUGGGGAAUAACAACCGGAAACGGUGGCUAAUACCGCAUAAUGCAGCGGCACCUAAUGGUGACGGUUGUUAAAGCGGGGGAUCGUAAGACCUCGCGUCUGAAGAGGAGCCUGCGGCAGAUUAGCUAGUUGGUAAGGUAACGGCUUACCAAGGCGAUGAUCUGUAGCCGGCCUGAGAGGGCGGUCGGCCACACUGACACUGACAUACGGGUCAGACUCCUACGGGAGGCAGCAGUCGGGAAUUUUGGGCAAUGGGCGAAAGCCUGACCCAGCAACGCCGCGUGAAGGAUGAAAUCCCUCGGGAUGUAAACUUCGCAAGAACGGGAAGAAUAAGUAAGAGCUAACAUCUCUUAUGAUGACGGUACUGUUUGUAAGCUCCGGCUAACUCCGUGCCAGCCGCCGCGGUAAUUC
This 539-nucleotide ribosomal RNA is filed under the name uncultured bacterium. Its description in RNAcentral is "bacterial SSU rRNA". It matches the Rfam family "Bacterial small subunit ribosomal RNA", at positions 8 to 526 of the family's 1533-position model. The record is from RNAcentral.